UACCCCCAUCAUCCCCAUCAAGCUUGAAUUUGUUCAGCUUGAGAGAACAAGACUGUUUUAAAUUUUGGUUAAAGGAAAGGGAGAAAGACUUGUACUCCUCCUAAGCUUUUAGAAGUUAGGGAAGGAUAAGUCCGGGUGCUCCAGAGACCCAUGCAAAGGUUUUGCUUGUAAGCAGAGUGGGGUGAGAUACAAAGAUUUGCUUUAGCUAGGAUAAGGAAACACUGGAUACCUGACUCGAUCUCUGAAGUUAAAAAAUGACCUUUCAUUGCAUAAUUUUAGAGCAGAAAUAAAAGAAGGCUUGCAGCUACCGGAAAGUCAUUAAGGCAUUAGUUUCCCUAAGAAGACAGAUCUGAAGAAAAUGCAAGAAAAUGAGAAAAAUAAAAACAAGAUAUCUCUUGCACUUUGCCCCACUUCCCAUUGGGGCUAUCAAUUUGGCUUCCUUGCUUAGAGAGGAUAUCUACUUGAUCCGGGUAAAGAAGUCUCCCUCCGCUUUGCAGUGCAUAGUUUAUGCAACAUACGUCACUCAUACUGAAGGCAAAAACCCCACAAACAUUUCUGUUAAGAUCUAUUUACUUUUCAAAUGCUUUUUACUGAUGAAGUAUUGAGAACUUAAUUUCAGUCUCCCUGUAGCUGCAGGUUAAAAGAACACAAUACAAAUUAGAUAAUCUAACCACAUUUUAGAUUGCAGUGGAAAGUCAGAACAUUGUGCACGUAUGUGUGUAGGAGUUCCUAGUCACAAGGCAGUUUUACAAUAUGAACCAUGAUUGAAAAUGAACUGUGGAAAGUAUAUAUAGAGGGAAAAACAUUUAAAAUACAGUUGACAUAGAGAAUAAAGCUUUAGUUAUUCCAUAUUAAUAUGACUAUGGCUUCAACUUCCUAUGACUUAAAUAGUUUGCUAUGGGAAGUUAUUUUUAAAUCACUUUUAAAUAUAUUAAAAUUUUCAGACAUCCAAGAUUAUGCCACUAGAUCAAAUGAAAACUUUUUAAAAUGUGCUUCAAGGAAUUGAAUAAGUCUUUACAAAAUAUGCAAUUGUCAGUCGAAGAGAUAGUUUUGUGGGGGAUGAGAAAAGGGGGAUGUUGAAAUAAAGUGGAAAGCUUAACCUAAUGCUGUGGUGGCACCAUUGGGCGGUUUUAGUUUAUAUCUCUGUUGUUCAUAGAUCUCUGAGCUAAAACAUGUUCCCACUGAAUUUUAGUUGGAGAUAAAGUUUUCAACUAUCUUCAUCCUUAAAUUUGAUUGACCAAGUAAUGAGAGUGUUAAUAUAAAUUGAAUAUGUAUGAAUGAAUUGUUAGCAUAUUGUUAAUAUAACAAAAUUAAAAUAAAAGAACAUAA
This is a long non-coding RNA of Myotis daubentonii (Daubenton's bat), 1329 nucleotides long. RefSeq lists it as uncharacterized. The record is from RefSeq and is a predicted model, not a curated record. Lineage: Eukaryota; Metazoa; Chordata; Mammalia; Chiroptera; Vespertilionidae.